Molecule: ribosomal RNA, 178 nt
Filed under: Charanyca ferruginea
Lineage: Eukaryota; Metazoa; Arthropoda; Insecta; Lepidoptera; Noctuidae
Description: partial large subunit ribosomal RNA
Source: RNAcentral
UGGGACGAGAAGACCCUAUAGAGUUUUAUAAUUUUUGUAAUUAAAAUUAUAAAUUAAUUUAAUAUUUUUAAUUAUGUGGAUUAUUUUGUUGGGGUGACAGAAAAAUAAAAAUAACUUUUUUUAUUAAAUUUCAUGAAUAAAUGAAUAAAUGAUCCAAUAUUAUUGAUUAAAAGAAAAA